AGGAUGAACGCUGGCGGCGUGCUUAACACAUGCAAGUCGAACGAUGAACCUCACUUGUGGGGGGAUUAGUGGCGAACGGGUGAGUAACACGUGAGUAACCUGCCCUUGACUCUGGGAUAAGCCUGGGAAACUGGGUCUAAUACUGGAUAUGACUUCUCAUCGCAUGGUGGGGGGUGGAAAGCUUUAUUGCGGUUUUGGAUGGACUCGCGGCCUAUCAGCUUGUUGGUGGGGUAAUGGCCUACCAAGGCGACGACGGGUAGCCGGCCUGAGAGGGUGGACGGCCACACUGGGUCUGAGACACGGCCCAGACUCCUACGGGAGGCAGCAGUGGGGAAUAUUGCACAAUGGGCGCAAGCCUGAUGCAGCGACGCCGCGUGGGAUGAAGGCCUUGGGUUGUAAACCUCUUUCAGUAGGAAGAAGCGAAAGUGACGGUACCUGCAGAAGAGCGCGGCUAACUACGUGCCAGCAGCCGC
Molecule: ribosomal RNA, 473 nt
Filed under: uncultured soil bacterium
Lineage: Bacteria
Description: bacterial SSU rRNA
Rfam family: Bacterial small subunit ribosomal RNA
Source: RNAcentral